Molecule: small nuclear RNA, 128 nt
Organism: Oncorhynchus mykiss (rainbow trout)
Lineage: Eukaryota; Metazoa; Chordata; Actinopteri; Salmoniformes; Salmonidae
Gene: U2
Rfam family: U2 spliceosomal RNA
About the family: U2 is a small nuclear RNA (snRNA) component of the spliceosome (involved in pre-mRNA splicing). Complementary binding between U2 snRNA (in an area lying towards the 5' end but 3' to hairpin I) and the branchpoint sequence (BPS) of the intron results the bulging out of an unpaired adenosine, on the BPS, which initiates a nucleophilic attack at the intronic 5' splice site, thus starting the first of two transesterification reactions that mediate splicing.
Source: Ensembl
GGACCUCGGCCUUUUGGCUAAGAUCAAGUGUAGUAUCUGUUUUUAUCAGUUUAAUAUCUGAUACGUCCCCCAUCGAGGGACUACAUAUUAAAUGUUCCAGAGUGGCGCAGCGGUCUAAGGCACUGCAU